RNAcentral lists this long non-coding RNA (342 nucleotides) under Helianthus annuus (common sunflower). Its description in RNAcentral is "sRNA HanXRQr2_Chr16g0752781". The record is from RNAcentral. Lineage: Eukaryota; Viridiplantae; Streptophyta; Magnoliopsida; Asterales; Asteraceae.
ACAUAGCAUAAUAGAAUAAAAACUCAUAUCCAACAUGUAACAUAGUGAAUAAAUUUACUAGCAAUGCAAUUUUUGGCGUACUAUAUGAUCAAACCCAAGAAUACAACGCACAAAAAUAGCCUAAUCCCAAUCGUUCAGCGGGGUGGUAAUGUUUAACUUAACAAUACCCAAUUAGAAUAGCGGGCGGGGCGUUAAUCCUAUAGCGCUAUAAUUGUUAAGGCUCUUAUGGUGGGCUAGCAAAGUUAAUGAGCAUAUAACGUUCCAAAUCGUUCAUAGAGCAUACAAGCAUAGCAAAUAUUCAUAAUAGUUUCAUGUCACGUUCAUAGAUAGAGUACGUUUUGU